UGUGGCUGGGGGUGAAAGGCCAAUCAAACCGGGAGAUAGCUGGUUCUCCCCGAAAGCUAUUUAGGUAGCGCCUCGUGAAUUCAUCUCCGGGGGUAGAGCACUGUUUCGGCUAGGGGGCCAUCCCGGCUUACCAACCCGAUGCAAACUGCGAAUACCGGAGAAUGUUAUCACGGGAGACACACGGCGGGUGCUAACGUCCGUCGUGAAGAGGGAAACAACCCAGACCGCCAGCUAAGGUCCCAAAGUCAUGGUUAAGUGGGAAACGAUGUGGGAAGGCCCAGACAGCCAGGAUGUUGGCUUAGAAGCAGCCAUCAUUUAAAGAAAGCGUAAUAGCUCACUGGUCGAGUCGGCCUGCGCGGAAGAUGUAACGGGGCUAAACCAUGCACCGAAGCUGCGGCAGCGACGCUGAUGCGUUGUUGGGUAGGGGAGCGUUCUGUAAGCCUGUGAAGGUGGCCUGUGAGGGUUGCUGGAGGUAUCAGAAGUGCGAAUGCUGACAUAAGUAACGAUAA
Molecule: ribosomal RNA, 509 nt
Filed under: Salmonella enterica subsp. enterica serovar Kentucky
Lineage: Bacteria; Pseudomonadati; Pseudomonadota; Gammaproteobacteria; Enterobacterales; Enterobacteriaceae
Description: partial 23S ribosomal RNA
Rfam family: Bacterial large subunit ribosomal RNA
Source: RNAcentral